AAAAUUUCUUUAUUAUUUUUUUUUCUUCUUUUUCUUUUUCUUUUCUUUUCUCCCUUCUUCUUCCCCGUGCGAUCGUGACUCCCAUCCAUCUUCUCCUUCUUUCCGCCGAUCUCUUCCUUCCAUUUUCUCCUUCCGCCGCAGCCCAGCAACCGCCCGUAGCCCAGCAACCGCCACCCGAGACUUCUCUUCUUCCGUUUCUCUUUCUUUUUCACCAUACCCAGCCGCGAAGCAAGACCGUGCCGCUGCCAGUCCAGAUUUGCGUUGCAGUCGUCCCGCGCGCCGAACUGCCGUCUCCAUCUCCGUUCGCGAAGCAAAACCGCCGCCGCUCGCCGAACCCAACUGCCACCCUCUCUUUUCUUCUUCAGAUCUAAACCGUCGCGCCCAUCUGCCUGUAACUGCCGUGCCUCUUCGCUCACAACCGUCGUGCCUCCCUCGGAAAGCAAAUCGUCGUCCAGAUCUGCCUCGUCGUGAACCAUUGGGCUCAUAUUUGGGUAAGAACAAGUUAUGGUUUUUGUUGGUUUCUUGGUUUUUGUUGGAUGCUGCCAUUGGAUUUAAUUGUUGGCGAAAUGCUUAAUUCUUGAAGGUACAUCUUGAUUCAGUGAGCGAAUCCUUGAUUUUCCAAAAGGUUGAAGUGGACUUGAUUCUCUCACUUCUUGGGUAAGUUGUGGAAUUUACAUAUGGGGUAAUUUGAAUGGUUGAAACUAUUUAGAAAGAUGUUGAUUUUAUGAUUGAUUAUGUUUAGGAUUUGAUUCAUUGGAUUUAGUAGAUUGAAGAACUUGCAUAAAAGUGAGGUAAGGGAUUUUCUACUGGACUCACCUAAAGUUUUUGAGUUGUGUUGGACUGUAUGGAUGAUGAUUAAGAUGUACAUGUUUGAUUGCAGACUAAAUGUUUAGUGUAUGUUGUAUUUGACUGGAAACAUAUAUAUAUACAUUGAUGUGUGAAUUGAUGUGGAUUGCCGAAAGUAUACAUGUGAAUGACUGAAAUUAUGCUUAUGUGUACAUGAUGAUAUUAAUAGAUUGUGCUGUAUAAAGAUUGGAUGUGAACUAGUGAAUUUGUUUCGGUUGGAUGUGGAUUAUACUGAACUGUGGUUUGUGCUGGUGAACUGAGGGGUGUAUUGACUUGAC
Molecule: long non-coding RNA, 1124 nt
Filed under: Cucumis sativus (cucumber)
Lineage: Eukaryota; Viridiplantae; Streptophyta; Magnoliopsida; Cucurbitales; Cucurbitaceae
Description: long non-coding RNA (CSAT_LNC003057)
Source: RNAcentral